RNAcentral lists this long non-coding RNA (2457 nucleotides) under Macaca mulatta (Rhesus monkey). RNAcentral describes it as "lncRNA (ENSMMUG00000050814.1)". Lineage: Eukaryota; Metazoa; Chordata; Mammalia; Primates; Cercopithecidae. The record is from RNAcentral.
AUGCACAAUUCCACAGCAUUUCCAUCUCGGAAGAGCACACUGCCCGUCACCUACCGAGUACGCAGUGUCAGGAGGGGUCAGUCUGGAGGCCACAGUUGGGCAUCAUUUCUUGUCUUUUCCUCAUCUAUCCCCUGGACAGAUCACCUGCAUUGGGACCAUCACAAGAUACCAGAAGAUGAGAAAAAAAAAAAGUUAUUCACUGGAAUUUCAGGAAAUUGUAUGAAAGGCAAAACGGCCUAGCUUGGUUGAUCCCUGAAAAAAAAUUUUUUUUAAGUCAGAAAUAGGCCCCUGUGUUUGGGGGAAAGUUGAAGGAAUAGUUUUGACCAGGUGCGAUGACUAACGCCUGUGAUCCCAGCACUUCGGGUGGCUGAGGCAGGCGGAUCACGAGGUCACGAGUCCAAGACCAGCCUGGCCGACACAGUGAAACUCCGUCUCUACUAAAAAUACAAAAAUUAGCUGGGCGUGGUGACACAUGCCUAUAAUCCCAGCCACUUGGAAGGCUGAGGCAGGAGAAUUGCUUGACCUGGGACCGGAGAAGCAGAGCUUGCAGUGAGCCAAGAUCGAGCCACUGUACUCCAGCCUAGGCUACAGAGCGCGACUUCGUCUCAGAAAAAAAAAAAAAAGAAGAAGAAGAAGAAGGAGAAGGAGAAGUAGAAGAAGAGGAAAUAGUUUCCACUUCCCAAGUGAAUGUUCAGGGUAUAGAAGGUCACCUGCCGGGAUUUAAGUUAAAGGAGUCAGGGGACUGCAAGCAAGCAUGCAGGGAGCACAUUGGAGGCUGAUGAUAAUCAGUCAGCGGUUACCCUGCACCACGGCACCCUAAUGUCCUUCAUGAAGCCACUCAGCACACAUUGCUUGGCUGGAGCGGAUUUUCUCACCCAAAUGGCAGACCUCUGAGCCCAGAUUAUCAUGGAGGUAGUGGUGAGGUGACAGUCACAGCCAAGGGGGUAGAGAAGGGGACAUCUCUGGAGAAAAAAAGCAUUUUCACAAGCUUUGAACCCCUGGGGUUGAGAGGUGAGCCAGAUUCAUCUAAACCUCCAACAGCCAAGGAGUCUUCUGAGUUUAUGAGAUUCAAUUUAAAAAAUGAAGAAUAGGCUCUUCUAGUAGCUAACCUGCUGCCUAGCCCAGAAUAAGAAUCCAUUGGACUCUUCUUCCAUUUGUUAAGUGAGGGCUGACUUCUGGUUUCAAGCUUUAGGUGCCUACUCUGUGCUUGGGAUUGUGCCAGGGACCAUGUCUCUGUUUCCGAGAGUCAUACAUUCCCUUGGAAAAGGCAUUGCCUGUACUCAGUGUGACACCUGAUCGUGCAAGGAUUCCAGAUUAAUAUCCCAUGCAGUACUGGGCAGCAAGAUGGGCGCUGCACCCACAGGGGUUGCUUUGUUAGAGGUCCAUCCAGACAGUGCAUCCAUGGGGUUUUGGAGCUUAGGAUUCUGAAGCGUGUGUUGCUGUAUGUGUUGAGGAACUGCAAGGAUCUUCUUUGUAUUGGACAUCUUAAUAAUCAUAUUUUAAUAUGAUUAUUUUCCUUUGUAAUCCUAUGUAUUUAUUUCUUAUUGGGGUAUCAUUUAGACACCAUAAAAUCUGUGUAUGUGUUCAAUGAGUUUUGACAAUUGCAUAUACUCACACGACCACCGCCCUAAACAGGAUACAGAGCAUUUCCAAACCUCAGAAAGUUUCCUCAAGUCAACUCCAAUCCAAAACCGAACCUCCAGUGUUCUGACUUCCAUCGCAGUAGGUCGGUCCUGCCUGUUCUUGACUUCACCCACAUAUCUUUCCUGGGUGGCUUCUCUUGCUUGACACAGUGAUUCUGAGAUUUGAAACACAAGGCAUGCAUGGAGUGUGUUCCUCGGGGUCUUGGAAGGAAGACUAUCUGGAACGUGUUAGGGGUGUUUAAUGAAGGGCUACACGUUGUGAGCAGGGAAUAAGGAAUCCACAAGCCAGCGUGUUCCUCACCUGAAGAGGGGCAGGAGCAGCCACUGGAAGAGGAAAGACAGCUGCGUCAGGCCAGGAGGCCUUUGGUCAGGAACAGCCAGCCUGGGCAACCACAGAGGGAAGAAGUCAGGAAGAAAUACCUUGUCUCUCUCUCUCCUUUCAAGAUGCCCCACUGGCCCAGCGCAACUGUGAGCCAGAAAGUAGGAGAGGCCGUUAAUUCCCCGCAAAGAGGCCAGCCGAGGUAGAGAGCUGCAGGAAAACAUCUGGAGCUGGAAGGAGAGGGUGUUCAGCACAUGGCCGCGUGUUCAGGUAAACCCAGAGUAUGGGUAAAGGCAUGGGGAUCUGACUGCAGGGAGGGGCACAGUUAAGGAAGUGCUCGAAAAUUAGCUUUCUUACCCUUCCCUCCUUUCUUCUUCUCACCCUGCCUUCCUGCCUUCCUCCUUUCCUCCCUCCCUCCCUUCUUGCCUUUCUUCCUUCCUUUAUUCGGCCUUCCUUCUUUCCUUCCUCUUUUCCUUUUUUCCUUCCUUUGAAAAU